GAAGAAUUGAAAGACAAUUGGGGGAUAGCUGGGUGAAUGGAAAUGGUUUGUUUCGCUACCAGCAGCGUAGUGCAUCACCUGAAAUUGUUGAAGUACAUGAAGAGUCCUUCAGGUUAGAACCUGACAAGUCCAUGAACCUGGAAAUCGGUUCUGUUGUGCUGAUAGAAGAUUCAAACUGGAAGAAGGAUUAUCAGAUAAAUGAAGUCCUAACAGAUGGAGAAAUUCCGUAUUACAUUGCGUCUUCUGUCGAAGAUCCUGGCACGACUUCAUUUUUAUAUGUUGGUUCACAUCCUUCUCUGCUGGAACCAGCGUGGGAAGAUAUGAAACUGUGGUAUCAAGUUCAGAGGCAGACAAAGGUAUUGGGCGUUAUGAAGCAAAAGGAGUUGUCCAGCAAGUAUCUACCUCAGUUGGAUGCAUCUGGGCGGAUAAUUCAUCCUGGCCAAUGCAGGAGACCAAGCUCGGGCGGUAACUGUGAUCGUCAAUGGUGUGGAACUCCAGUUUUAAUGACUAGUCCAGUGGGCAGAACAGUUGCUGAUUUGGUGAGACUUGGCCACUUUGGUAGCGAUGAGGCUAUUAGAUGUUGCCAUGACUGUUUAGCUGCCCUUUCUGCUGCUGCCUCAGUUGGCAUUCGGCACGGAGAUAUCAGGCCUGAGAACGUUGUUUUUGUUAAUUCUGGUGUGAGGCAACCUUAUUUUGUUCUCGUUGGUUGGGGACAUGCUAUUUUAGAAGAGAGGGAUCGUCCUGCAAUGAAUUUACAUUUCUCCUCUACCUAUGCCCUUCAAGAAGGGAAACUGUGCUCAGCCUCUGAUGCAGAGAGUCUCGUGUACAUGCUUUACUUCUCUUCUGGUAGUAACAUGCCUAAUUUGGAUUCGGUUGAAGGGGCACUGCAGUGGAGAGAAACCUCUUGGUCAAAAAGGUUGAUCCAACAGAAGCUAGGAGAUAUUUCUGCUGUCUUGAAAGCAUUCGCAGAUUAUGUUGACAGCCUCUGUGGAACGCCAUAUCCUAUGAAUUUUGAUAUCUGGCUCACAAGGUUAAAGAGACAUAUUCCUGAUGAUGAUCAUGGAAAACAGAUUGAUACCUCGAGUUAGAGAUUUUUGUUUUCAGCUAUGGAAGCCUUGCAGCACGAAUACUUUGUGGCUCUUGACAGUCUUUCAAGAUCUUCAGGAGUACAGGAAGAUGGAUCCCUUCUAUUAGUAGGUCAUCAAUGCCGGGCAGGAGUUCACGUAGGGGUCUACCAACUUGAACAGUAAAUCAACAUGAAACUUGAAGUUUUAAGAGUUAAUGGUCCCUGGAGCAUGCGGUACUCAUUAGCUAUCCAGCUUUUGCAUUUGUGAACAGUUACAGAGGUGUUUCUUUUUCUUUUUUCUUGUGUCAAAUGUGAUUAUUUGUUGUAAAGACAGGAACUUGUUGAGAUUUCCCUGAGUGAGAUAUGUGUGAUUGUUUACUUUACAG
Molecule: unclassified non-coding RNA, 1452 nt
Filed under: Hevea brasiliensis (rubber tree)
Lineage: Eukaryota; Viridiplantae; Streptophyta; Magnoliopsida; Malpighiales; Euphorbiaceae
Source: RNAcentral